This is a non-coding RNA of Marinobacter sp. T13-3, 351 nucleotides long. NCBI's taxonomy places the organism in Bacteria, Pseudomonadati, Pseudomonadota, Gammaproteobacteria, Pseudomonadales, Marinobacteraceae. The record is from Rfam.
CGAGCUCGCCAGACAGUCGCCGCCGGUUAUGCCGGGGGAGGAAAGUCCGGGCUCCACAGGGCAAGGUGCCAGGUAACGCCUGGGCGGCGCGAGCCGACGGAAAGUGCAACAGAAAGUAUACCGCCUAAGCGCCUUCGGGCGCCGGUAAGGUUGAAAUGGUGCGGUAAGAGCGCACCGCGUGGCUGGCAACAGUCCACGGCGAUGGUAAACCCCACCUGGAGCAAGACCAAAUAGGAGUCCAAUGGCGUGGCCCGCGCUGGACUCGGGUAGGUUGCUUGAGGUCUGUGGUGACGCAGACCCUAGAUGAAUGACUGUCCAAGACAGAACCCGGCUUAUCGGCGAGCUCACUUU